This 60-nucleotide ribosomal RNA is filed under the name Pseudocercospora eumusae. RNAcentral's name for it is "partial 28S ribosomal RNA". It matches the Rfam family "Eukaryotic large subunit ribosomal RNA", at positions 1 to 58 of the family's 3401-position model. The record is from RNAcentral. Lineage: Eukaryota; Fungi; Ascomycota; Dothideomycetes; Mycosphaerellales; Mycosphaerellaceae.
GUUGACCUCGGAUCAGGUAGGGAUACCCGCUGAACUUAAGCAUAUCAAUAAGCGAAGGAA